Long non-coding RNA from Gallus gallus (chicken), 1368 nucleotides. RefSeq lists it as uncharacterized. Lineage: Eukaryota; Metazoa; Chordata; Aves; Galliformes; Phasianidae. The record is from RefSeq and is a predicted model, not a curated record. The transcript has 2 exons.
GGAGGGCUGGGGCUGCUCUUCUCCCCAUGUUGUGGGGGAGCCGAGUGGGGAAUGCAGAGCUGAGUGUGCUGCAAAGUUCCUGCGUCCUCUGAUCUCCGAAUGGACGGCCAAACAGUGAGUUUGCUCUGUGCCAGAGGCUGUUUCCGUUUCUUUAUUUAUAUAUUUCCUUCUCCAGCCAAAGCUGUUUGUAGGAGUUCAUCCCUCCUGCCUUGCUUUCUUUAAUCCUCCUUUUGUACGGAGGGCUGGAAACCUCCCCGAGCUUCCCAAGGGGUGACUCCCAGAGCUGUGCCCAGCAAUUCUCGCCUCUGGCAGCAGCUCUGAGCAUUGGCUCUGUGAGAUGGGAGCGUGAGUGGGGCAGCACCGACUCCUCCGUCCCAGCAGAGCAGGGACUGAGAUGCUGCUGGGAAGGGAAGAGGGGUCAGGCAUUGCCUGUGUGUCCGAGAGGGGCUGGACAGGGAUGGUGAUGGAAUAAGGCAACGUGUUGCUAGGAGACAUCAAACUGGGGCUCAAUAAUUCAUGAGAGCUCCGCAAUGGAGUGAAUAAUUCAGGGUGUGGGAUGCUGUAGGGCCCCCGUCCAGCCCUACUGCCCACCUCAGCUCCCUGGGGAGGGACCUCGAGGGCUGAGAUGGGGCUGGGGGGGCUCUGCAGCCCAAAGCAGCCCUCCAGAUGGAAGCAGGGGAGCCUGGCGGCCCCAACCUGCUACCCAGCACCCAGGGAUGUGCAGACCAGGAGGAGGAGCUGAGGGCUUUGCCACGCUUGGUGUGAGCACAGCUUUAUCCUGGAGGCUCUCUCCAUUUUCAGGCUCAUCCAAAUGACUUGGCAAUGAGUUUUGCCUCCCCCUCCCCUGAAUGCUAUGAUUUCUACGUCCUAAUGUUAAACAGAACCAACCCUGAUGGGGCUCCAGCGAUCUGUUAGAAAUGUUUCAUUUGGAAAUCAAACUGAAUUUAAAUGGUGACGGUCAGUAUUGGAGAACAAAACCAAUGGGUUUUCCUUUUCGAGUUGAGCUGAGCGCUUCAUUCAAUGCGAAGUCAGGGUUGAAAGGAAAACAAGCCUCUGGUCACUGAACCAGCAAGGAAAAAAAAUCAUUACUUUAAUCACAACUCUAUUCAGGAUGGAUCUCUUCAAACGAUUUUAUGGGAGAACAAAACUGGUCAAGCAUUCAGCUGCAGGAAAAUCCAUAUGGAAGAUUUCCUCUCUCUUUGUUGGUCUGAAGCAACAGAAGUAUUAUCUGCGUUCGAAAGGAGCUGAAGACUGGUGCCAGAGCAGUCACAUCUGAAAGCCUCUCUCAUCUAAGAUUCAAGAAAAUGGCUUCUUGUCUAACAGUAAACGACAUUAUUAAUUUAUAUGGCAUUUCUGUGCCAACAAAAA